UGCAUCUGAAGCCUGACGAGGAUGAGAACCUCCGGGGGCAAGAGGUUCGACUCGAGCGCAGCGAGAGAACGUUGCGUCAGCAACGGCCCGCAGGGCGAGCCACGCAGUGGCGAGUCAUCCUCUAUCACCCACCA
Molecule: small RNA, 134 nt
Filed under: Salmonella enterica
Lineage: Bacteria; Pseudomonadati; Pseudomonadota; Gammaproteobacteria; Enterobacterales; Enterobacteriaceae
Description: RtT sRNA
Rfam family: RtT RNA
About the family: This family represents a bacterial cis-regulatory element known as RtT RNA.
Source: RNAcentral